This 489-nucleotide long non-coding RNA is filed under the name Bos taurus (domestic cattle). Its description in RNAcentral is "long non-coding RNA NONBTAT006171". The record is from RNAcentral. Lineage: Eukaryota; Metazoa; Chordata; Mammalia; Artiodactyla; Bovidae.
GCUUCUGUGAGCCUCAUCUCCAGGGAGAUUUCCUGGUCCACUCUGCUUCCUCCAUUGUCCUCCUCUUCCUACACUGCUUAUAUGCUAACUACACCUGAGGGUUAGCACAGGUUCCACCCCCACACCCACCAGGACAACUGGGUUUUAUAUCGGGAAUGUGUGGCAAUUAGAUUUUCCCAGAAGCAGGAGCAGCAGCAGUGUAAUGAAUUCACUUCCCCUGGCAACAUGUGCCUGCAGUCCUACAAUUCCAUGAAAACAGUGACAUAGGCACCGGGGAGAGCUUUCUGCGGGAGUUGUCAUGACAAAGCUACUUGAGUUUUACUUCUGCAGUUUUUUUAAUGUUUGUCAUUCUGAUUUAACCUAAGGCCCUUAUUAGUGCUGUACACCUGUGGAUUUUUCUCCCUUUAUUUAUGCAUCUCAGUGAUUUCCAUGAAAUGCCUUUUCCCCACUAGAACUCACAAAGCAAAGAACAAAUCCACCACUGUUCAU